This is a non-coding RNA of Pelodiscus sinensis (Chinese soft-shelled turtle), 3286 nucleotides long. NCBI's taxonomy places the organism in Eukaryota, Metazoa, Chordata, Testudines, Trionychidae. The record is from RefSeq and is a predicted model, not a curated record.
UUCUGUCUGGUUGAGGUUAUUUGUAUGAACAUCUGUUUGUGAAUUUGAAAAGUCUGUAUUGGCAGUUCUUUGUUGCAGGUUGGCUUUCAGGAUGUAAGUGAAUUGGAGGCAACUCUUUGAGCCUGGUGUCUGUGUAGGAGCUGGCAGCUAAAGCGAACGGAGCGAGCAGCAAACAGGGCAGCAGCCAACAGAAAUAUUGACCUGGAAAAUGUCCAGGAGGACCCCAGGUGUAAGUGUGGCUUUUGGGGAGAGGGGCUGUUUUGUGAUCUGGUGGGGUAAGUAUCCAAGUAUCUUUUUGUGAUCAUUCGUUUGAAAAGUGUGUAUUGGGAGUUCCUGCUUUCCAGGUUAGUCUUCAGGACCUGCGUGGAUUGGAGGCAAGUCUCUGGGUCGGGUGUCCAUCUAGUAGUUAGCAGCCAGAGCGAACAGAGUGAGCAACAAACAAGGCAGCAGCCAAGACGAGAGUUUGCCUGGGAAACAUCUAAGAGGAGCUCAGAUAAAUCUGGGUUUUGGUGGGCUAUGUUGUGAUCUGGUGGGUAAGUAUUCAAGUGUCUGUCUGUCUGUGAUAAUUUGCUUGAAAAGUUCAGCAGUUUGAAAAGUGUAUAUUGGAAGUUCUUUGUUCCAGGUGGGCCUUGAGGGGCUGAUUGGAGGCAAGGCUUUGAGACAGGUAUGCUAGCAGCCAGCAGCUUUAUAUAAAAGGCAUCUAGCAUAAACGGACUGAGUAGCGAACAGGGAAGCAGCAAACAGGGAAGUUUGCCUGUGAAACGACCAUGAGAAGCACAGUUUGAAAAGUGUGUAUUGGGAGUUCUUUGUUUGAGGUUGGCCUUCCGUACAUGAGUGGAUUUGGAGGCAAGUCUCUGAGCCAGGUGUCCAUCUAGCAGCUAGAGCAAACAGAGUGAGCAGCAAACAGGACAGCUGCGAACAGAGGAAUUGUCCUGGGAAACUUCUGAGAGGAGAACAGGUAAGUGUGACUUUUGGGGGAUUGUUUUGUGAUCCAGUGGGAUUAGUAUCCAAGUGUUGUCUGUCUGUCUUUGAUCAUUUGUUUGACCAUGUGUUUCACAAUUUGAAAUGUGCAGCAGUGUGAAAAGUGUGUAUUGGGAUAUCUUUUUUCCACUCCGGCCUUCAGAACCUGAUUAGAUCUGAAGCAAGUAUUUGUGCUGCGUGUCCUUCUAGGAGCCAGUAGCCUUAUAAAAAAGGCAUCUAGAGCAAACAGACUGAGCAGAGAAAAGGACAGUUUGCCUGGAAAAUGUCUGGGAGGAGCUCAGUUUGAAAUGUGCAGCAGUUUGAAAAGUAUAUAUUGGGAGUUCUUUGUUCCUGGUUAGCUUUCGCAACAUGAGUGGAUUGGAGGCAAGUCUUUAUGCCAGGUGUCCUUCUUGGACCCAGAAGCCUUAUAAAAAAGGCAUCUAGAGCAAAUGGACUGAGCAGUGAACAGGGCAGCAACCAACCGGAGACUUGACCUGGGAAAUGUCCAGGAAGAGCUCAGGUGGGCCUAAAAGGGCUAAUUGGUUUGGAGGAAGGCUUUGAGAUGGACCUCCUAUUUGGAAUUAGCAGCCUUACAAAAAAGGCAUCCACAGAGAACAUGUCAGCAGCCAACAGGGUUGAUUGCCUGGGCAAUGUCCAAGAGGAGCUAAGGUAAAUGUGGAUUUUCAGGAGCUGUUCUUUGAUCUGGUGGGGGUAAGUAUCCAAGUGUCUUUCUUUCUGCGAUCAUUUGUUAGAAAUGUGCGGCAGUUUGAAAAGUGUGUAUUGCGAGUUCUAUGUUCCAGGCUGGCCUUUUGCAUCUCAUUGGAUUGGAGUCAAGUCUUUGAUCCGCGUGUCCAUGUAGGAGCUAGCAGCCUUAUAAAAAAGGCACCCAGAGCAAACAGACUGAGUAGCCAACAGAGCAGUCUGCCUGCAAAAUGUCCAAAAGGAGAACUGAUAAAUGUGGCUUUUGGUCGGCUGUGUUGUGAGCUGGUGGGGUCAGCCAUCAGGACCUGGUUGGUUUGGAGGUUGGGUUUUUGUCUAGGAGGAAGCAGCCAGAACGAACGGAGUUAGAAGGGAUCAGGGACAGCAGCCAACAGAGAAAUUGGCAAGGGAAACAUCUGGGAGGAGUACAGGUCAGACUUCAGGACUUGGUUGGAUUGGAGACAAGGCUUUGAGACAGGUGUCCUAGGAGCCCGCAGCCUUAUAAAAAUGGCCUCUAGAGCAAACAGACUGAGCAGUGAACAGGGGAGUUUGCCUGUGAAACAAGCAGGAGGAGCACAGGUUGGCCAUCAGGACCUGAUAGGAUUGGAGGCAAGGCAUUGAGCCAGAUAUCAUUGAAGGAGCCAGCAGCAUUAUAAAAAAGGCAUCCAGAGCAAAUGGACUGAGCAGCCAAUAAGAGAGUUUGACUGAGAAAUGUCUGAGAGGAGCUCAGGUAAGUGUGGUUUUUUGGGAGCUUUGUUUUGAGGUGGUAGGUGAGUAUCCAAGUGUCUGUCUGGUUGGGAACAUUUGUUUAAAAAGUGUGCCAGAUUUUAAAGUGGGAAUUGGGAGUGCUUUGUUCCAGGUAGGCCUUUGUGGGUAACUGGAUUGGAGGCAAGACUUUAAGACUGCCUUCUGCUGGAGCCAGUAGUCUUAUAAAAGGCUAGCAUAGGGAACAGCACAGCAGGUAAACGGAGAGUUUGCCUGGGAAAUGUCUGAGAUAAGCUCAGGUAAGUGUUGUUUUUGGGGGGCGGUGUUGUAAGCUGGCGGGGUGAGUAUCCAAUUGUCUAUCUGAUCAUUUAUUUGACUGUGUGUUUGGCAGUUUGAACAACUCGGCAGUUUGAACAACUCAGCCAUUUGAAAAGUGUGGCAGAUUUAAAAGUUUGAAUUGGGAGGGCUUUGUUCUAAGCGGGCCUUCAGGCUCUGAUUGCAUUGGAGGCAUGGCUUUGAGUGGGCUUCCGGCUGGAGUCAGCAGCCUUAUAAAAAGCAUCCAGAGUGGACAGUGAGCAGGGCAGGAGUCAACAGCAGAGUUUCUCUUUCAGGUGGGCCCCACUGUGUAUGAUGGUUUUUCUUGCUUUUUGUUCUCUUCUUCCUUUUUUCCUCUCUCUUCCUAUUCAGGGGGCAAUAAAGCCCUCAAAGUAUUAGGCUCUUUGUUGCCCCAUCUCCAAUUUUUGAAGAUCUUUUACAAAUGUGGCCUUUAAAACAGACUGAAGUACCCAAUCUCAGUUUUUCACAUUCUUUACAGCUGUGGAAAAAAUGUCCAUGACUUUCCUUGCCUUCAGCUCUGGGUGGCUUUAGAGGUGGGCAGCUGUGCCUGGAAAACAUUUUCACUCUCAGCAGCAGCUCAGAAGAA